This 681-nucleotide small RNA is filed under the name Pan troglodytes (chimpanzee). Its description in RNAcentral is "retained intron". The record is from RNAcentral. Lineage: Eukaryota; Metazoa; Chordata; Mammalia; Primates; Hominidae.
GAUCAAGGAAAUACGAGAGAGUACAGGGGCUCAGGUCCAGGUGGCAGGGGAUAUGCUACCCAACUCAACUGAGCGGGCCAUCACUAUUGCUGGCAUUCCACAAUCCAUCAUUGAGUGUGUCAAACAGAUCUGCGUGGUCAUGUUGGAGACUCUCUCCCAGUCCCCCCCGAAGGGCGUGACCAUCCCGUACCGGCCCAAGCCGUCCAGCUCUCCGGUCAUCUUUGCAGGUGGUCAGUUGACCAAGCUGCACCAGUUGGCAAUGCAACAGUCUCAUUUUCCCAUGACGCAUGGCAACACCGGAUUCAGUGGUAUGGAUACCUCAGUGUUUAUUUCUGUAAGGUGUAGUGCAAGAGAGAGGCCAGUCCCAAGGUCUCAGCUUGACAUCUGUUUAAAACAAACUUCGUUAUCCAGCAUCCUGCUGGUUUAAACUUGCCUGUCUACUAUGGCUAAGCCCAAGGAGGUAAUGUGUUUGUUAACGUGGUUUUCAUUUGGGGUCAGUUAUUCUAAAAGAAAAAAAAAGCCCUGGAAGGUUUGGGGGUGAGGUUUGGGGAUGCUUGUCAGGCAAAGGGUAGGCUGAUAUUUCUUUGAGCCCAUCCUGACUGCUGCCCCCUUGAUCUGAUCAGCACCCCCUUUCUCUCCACCAGCAAUUCACAGGCUUGGGUAGAGACCAUCCAUUUGUGC